This 490-nucleotide ribosomal RNA is filed under the name uncultured bacterium. RNAcentral describes it as "partial 16S ribosomal RNA". It matches the Rfam family "Bacterial small subunit ribosomal RNA", at positions 30 to 507 of the family's 1533-position model. The record is from RNAcentral.
AUUGAACGCUGGCGGCAGGCCUAACACAUGCAAGUCGAACGGUAACAGGAAACAGCUUGCUGUUUCGCUGACGAGUGGCGGACGGGUGAGUAAUGUCUGGGAAACUGCCUGAUGGAGGGGGAUAACUACUGGAAACGGUAGCUAAUACCGCAUAACGUCGCAAGACCAAAGAGGGGGACCUUCGGGCCUCUUGCCAUCGGAUGUGCCCAGAUGGGAUUAGCUAGGAGGUGGGGUAACGGCUCACCUAGGCGACGAUCCCUAGCUGGUCUGAGAGGAUGACCAGCCACACUGGAACUGAGACACGGUCCAGACUCCUACGGGAGGCAGCAGUGGGGAAUAUUGCACAAUGGGCGCAAGCCUGAUGCAGCCAUGCCGCGUGUAUGAAGAAGGCCUUCGGGUUGUAAAGUACUUUCAGCGGGGAGGAAGGGAGUAAAGUUAAUACCUUUGCUCAUUGACGUUACCCGCAGAAGAAGCACCGGCUAACUCCGUG